Molecule: ribosomal RNA, 253 nt
Filed under: uncultured bacterium
Lineage: Bacteria
Description: partial 16S ribosomal RNA
Rfam family: Bacterial small subunit ribosomal RNA
Source: RNAcentral
UACAGAGGGUGCAAGCGUUAAUCGGAAUUACUGGGCGUAAAGCGUGUGUAGGCGGAUAUCUAAGUCGGAUGUGAAAUCCCCGGGCUUAACCUGGGAAUGGCAUUUGGGACUGCAAGGCUGGAGUGUGGCAGAGGAGACUGGAAUUCCUGGUGUAGCAGUGAAAUGCGUAGAUAUCAGGAGGAAUACCGAUGGCGAAGGCAGGUCUCUGGGCUGACACUGACGCUCAUGCACGAAAGCGUGGGGAGCAAACAGG